GAUGAACGCUAGCUACAGGCUUAACACAUGCAAGUCGAGGGGCAGCAUGAACUUAGCUUGCUAAGUUUGAUGGCGACCGGCGCACGGGUGAGUAACACGUAUCCAACCUGCCGAUGACUCGGGGAUAGCCUUUCGAAAGAAAGAUUAAUACCCGAUGGCAUAGUUCUUCCGCAUGGUAGAACUAUUAAAGAACUUCGGUCAUCGAUGGGGAUGCGUUCCAUUAGGUUGUUGGCGGGUAACGGCCCACCAAGCCUUCGAUGGAUAGGGGUUCUGAGAGGAAGGUCCCCCACAUUGGAACUGAGACACGGUCCAAACUCCUACGGGAGGCAGCAGUGAGGAAUAUUGGUCAAUGGACGAGAGUCUGAACCAGCCAAGUAGCGUGCAGGAUGACGGCCCUAUGGGUUGUAAACUGCUUUUAUAAGGGAAUAAAGUGAGUCUCGUGAGACUUUUUGCAUGUACCUUAUGAAUAAGGACCGGCUAAUUCCGUG
RNAcentral lists this ribosomal RNA (488 nucleotides) under uncultured bacterium. Its description in RNAcentral is "bacterial SSU rRNA". It matches the Rfam family "Bacterial small subunit ribosomal RNA", at positions 28 to 507 of the family's 1533-position model. The record is from RNAcentral.